CAGCAGCCGCGGGAAUACAGAGGGUGCGAGCGUUAAUCGGAUUUACUGGGCGUAAAGCGUGCGUAGGCGGCUAAUUGAGUCGGAUGUGAAAUCCCCGAGCUUAACUUGGGAAUUGCAUUCGAUACUGGUUAGCUAGAGUGUGGGAGAGGAUGGUAGAAUUCCAGGUGUAGCGGUGAAAUGCGUAGAGAUCUGGAGGAAUACCGAUGGCGAAGGCAGCCAUCUGGCCUAACACUGACGCUGAGGUACGAAAGCAUGGGGAGCAAACAGGAUUAGAGACCCCGGUAGUCCUGUCUCUUAUACA
This 301-nucleotide ribosomal RNA is filed under the name uncultured bacterium. RNAcentral's name for it is "partial 16S ribosomal RNA". It matches the Rfam family "Bacterial small subunit ribosomal RNA", at positions 509 to 809 of the family's 1533-position model. The record is from RNAcentral.